Molecule: ribosomal RNA, 253 nt
Filed under: uncultured bacterium
Lineage: Bacteria
Description: partial 16S ribosomal RNA
Rfam family: Bacterial small subunit ribosomal RNA
Source: RNAcentral
UACAGAGGUCCCGAGCGUUGUUCGGAUUCACUGGGCGUAAAGGGUGCGUAGGUGGUGAGGUAAGUCGGAUGUGAAAGCUCGGAGCUCAACUCCGAAAUGGCAUUGGAAACUACCUUGCUAGAGGGUUGGAGGGGGGACUGGAAUGCUUGGUGUAGCAGUGAAAUGCGUAGAUAUCAAGCGGAACACCAGUGGCGAAGGCGAGUCCCUGGACAACUCCUGACACUGAGGCACGAAAGCUAGGGGAGCAAACAGG